GCCGAGGUAUCCAAGCGGCUACGGAGACGGUCUCGAAAACCGUUGCCCUUGAGGCUCGUGAGUCCUGAUGUAAUUCAUAGACAUUGGGCACGAAUUCGAAUCUCAUCCUCGGCGCCA
Molecule: transfer RNA, 117 nt
Filed under: Promethearchaeota archaeon
Lineage: Archaea; Promethearchaeati; Promethearchaeota
Description: Candidatus Lokiarchaeota archaeon (microbial mat metagenome) tRNA-Ser
Rfam family: tRNA
About the family: Transfer RNA (tRNA) molecules are approximately 80 nucleotides in length. Their secondary structure includes four short double-helical elements and three loops (D, anti-codon, and T loops).
Source: RNAcentral